Molecule: long non-coding RNA, 2234 nt
Organism: Equus asinus (donkey)
Lineage: Eukaryota; Metazoa; Chordata; Mammalia; Perissodactyla; Equidae
Source: Ensembl
GAGCAGGAGGCUGAGCUGGCGGGCUCCUUGGCAGUUCCCACGCCAUUCAGACCAAACUAAGUGGCACCUGACUGUGAGAUAAGUGGAUGGUGGGUAAGCAAAUAUCUCCGCUGGAGACGUUAAUUCUUGGCUAAUGCCAGAGAGCCUUGUCAUUCAUGUAAUGCUUUGUCUCUCCCGUAAAAUUAGAAGCUUCCUGAGUCAAACGCGACUCCUUACUUCCGGCCCUUGCCUCCUCGCAGCACCUGAUGUGUGGCCCUGCACAGAGCAGGGCUUCAGUGGGUCAUUGAUGACUCGCCUAACCUUUCAUGACCAGAGCAGUGUCACCGAUGACAAUACUACAAUUCCCGAGAUGUAUUAACCACAGAUGUAAGGAGAAACAACAGGAAACAAGCUGAAGAAAUGGGCAGGAAUCACACCAUUGACUCCGUUCAUGGGGGCUCCUGAGCUCCAGGCACCGGGCCUGACACUGGACAUAGGUGGUCUCUAGACUGGAGGCCCUAGAGGGGAGUAACGUUAACUUCAUUUUACUACUGGGAUGUUCAAGUUCAAGGUGGUUGAAUUACCCGCCCAAGGUCACAGAGGUGGUACUUGGCAGAUGUAGGGUCUGAGCCUUUUCUCCAGACUGACCCUCAGGAGACACAAUUUAGGCAGUGCUGUCCACAGCUGGAGAUCGUGUGACGAGGGGCUGCCCUGUUAUUGAUGAUCACUGUUUGGCUUCUGGCCUCCUCUCACUGUUUCAUAGGUUAACUUUGCGCCUUUAUUCCUUCCCCACCGAUUCACCCGGCAAGAAAACCUGGCCUUCGCUCCAGAAACCAGCUUGGCUCCUGGCACGCGGUGCUGCAGCUGACCCACAAGACAUUGCUGCCUCUUGGGAGUGCUCAGCCUGCCGCUGGUUUUUUCAUAAGGUUGGCUGCCAAGGAGAUUUCAGAGGCCGCCCGUGACACUUCACAUGCAGGAAGCUCCUCUGUUCCCUAGAUUGGGGAUGGCUCUUCCCACGUUCUCUUCUCUCCCUGCGGUUGCACAAUCCCUAGUCAGGCGGUUACACAAGCAGGCCCCCUUGCCAACUGUCACCAAGGCCACUUGAAAAUCAAGACUUACGCAAACCAGCAAUGGCUUGCCAGAGGCGCAACACCCUCGUGUACUUAUUACCAUCUGCUCUGGAGCUGCGUUCAAGCCCUCUCCCUCCUAGCAGCCCUGAAUUUUUCUGAAGAAGGGAAAAUAACAACAAUGUGGAUUUUCUGUGAAUUUAAAACCAGUGAAGAUGCUGGGGAGGCAGCAUAAAUAGGCUGGAAACUCUGUUGUCACUGAAGGUCGUCUGUCCUCUUUUGUUCCUGGUUUCUUCCUAAUUUCAGUAUCACAUACUUACUCCCAUUUCCAUGUGCCAGUACUUCCACCAGCUGGCAGUAUGACCUGGAGUGAGUCAUUCAGCCUCCCUGGGCCCCUGCAUCCUCAUCUGCAAAAUGAGGGGAGGGUGGGAGACAAGCACCAGGAUCCCUCCAGCUCCCAGAUGACAAGUCCAUUCUCCUGAGGUUUGGCCUGGAGCUCCCUUUCCUCCCCUCUGUCCAGCAGAUCCUGGCACAGUCCUAGGCACAAAGCUGGCACCCAAAACAUGGCGUGUGGACACGUGGAAGGUAUUUCCUGACAGCUAGAGGGUCACACAGUUUGUUUGAGCUAAAGAACUGGCAGGAAAUUUUCACAGCUCACAGAACCACAUUUUCAAAGACAUGUUGUAAGGAGAGGAUGAAAGACAAUGGCAUGGAUGCUGCUGUUCCCUCCCCAGAUGGGAACGCUUCUUCCGUUUUUCAGCUUGGAACUUGCUGGCUUCUGCAGUUUUGGAUAUUCCAAAUGUCUGUAGUCACAGGCUCUCUCCUCCCGUCCGAAAAGGUUUGAAAACCCUACCACAGGACUGGACACAAAGACCCACCACGGCACCCACGGGCAGUGCGCCCUGCCUCUUCUGCACUCCAGGUGCAUAAUAAUUUUUAACUGUAAUUUUGCAACUGGAGUUAGUAGUCAAGAGUCAAAAGACUUUCAAUGAAUUCAAUAAGGAAAACAAAGUAAAUUCUAGAAAAAGGGAGGAAUGAAGAGCAAGAAAAACCCAAAAUGGCCAUUAUGAGAAAAAGGUUAUUUUUUAAAAAAGGAUUAACAGAAGGAGAUAAGGUUGUGGCUUUGGGGGAACAGUUGGUAGACAAAAAAAAAAGCUUGGCUAACAAAUAAUUUAAAUGAAAAUGGCU